Oncorhynchus tshawytscha (Chinook salmon) is the source of this 1037-nucleotide long non-coding RNA. Lineage: Eukaryota; Metazoa; Chordata; Actinopteri; Salmoniformes; Salmonidae. The record is from Ensembl.
GUACACUAAUUUUGAUCAGAGGCCUAUUCCCUAUAUAGUGCACUAAUUUUGAUCAGAGGCCUGUGAGGAAUAGGGGGCCAAUUGGGACGCAGACUGUAUGUGAAACUGAUCAGUUUUUAAAUGUUUCUGCGGUUCUUAUUGGUUGUCUGAUUCUCUGACCAUGUCUGUGGUUGUUAUGGUUACCGUCUGAUCCAGUUCAUACAGACUGUUUUGGUUGUUGUUUCUUUGUUCUGUUUAUCUCUCUCUCUUUUUGUGGUUUAACUGUCUGUGGUCAGGUUCUGGCCAAUCAGAUGGGUCCGUGGUCAGGUUCUGGCCAAUCAGAUGGGUCAGGUUCUGGCCAAUCAGAUGGGUCAGGUUCUGGCCAAUCAGAUGGGUCAGGUUCUGGCCAAUCAGAUGGGUCAGGUUCUGGCCAAUCAGAUGGGUCCGGGGUCAGGUUCUGGCCAAUCAGAUGGGUCCGGGUUCUGCCAAUCAGAUGGGUCCGUGGUCAGGUUCUGGCCAAUCAGAUGGGUCCGUGGUCAGGUUCUGGCCAAUCAGAUGGGUCCGUGGUCAGGUUCUGGCCAAUCAGAUGGGUCCGUGGUCAGGUUCUGGCCAAUCAGAUGGGUCCGUGGUCAGGUUCUGGCCAAUCAGAUGGGUCCGUGGUCAGGUUCUGGCCAAUCAGAUGGGUCCGUGGUCAAUCAGAUGGGUCCGUGGUCAGGUUCUGGCCAAUCAGAUGGGUCUGUGGUGGUGUUGUGACUACUGCUGUCUAACUCCUCCUGGAGGACCCCUGGUGUUUCUGAUAGUUUAACUUCCGUCCGGGAUUCAAUCAAAGGCGCAUUGUGGAUUAUGAGCAAACCAAACUAGACUGUUCAAUCAAAUGUUCAGCUGACAUCCGCAGCGUUUACCAUGACAACCAGAGGAAUGAGCUGGUUAACGGUGCGACGUGGUCAGUGCACCUUUAGGUUGAAUCCCAGCCGUCUCAUUCAGACCUGGGACACCAAAUCAUGUAUCAAUUACAUGUCCCAAAAUGGCACCCUAUUCCCUAUAUAGUCCCCUACCUU